CUUGGGUCAGCACAGCGGCAACCAAAAAAAAUCUUAUACUAACAAAGUGAAAUUACCAAAAGCGCCCUCCCGUAGUGCCGCUGCCCCACGCCUGAAAGCGCACGGCGAGAGGGGGGAAAGGGGCAGAGGAAACAGAGGAGAGAAAAUAGGCUCCUCGCGGCUCGCCAAGGCCGUGUUCUGCAGCCAGCCACCGUCACUCUUCGCCGCCGUGAUCCGCCCGGGUUCCGCCGUGCCGGGGCUGCUUGAGAGAGCGAGGGAGUCGCUCUGGCCUCGCCGCCUCCUCCGGCAAAUAUUUUCCUCUGAUCCUGCCCUCUCCGUGGCUUGGGUCUCAGGGACCAAACCAUCCCGCCGCGGCUUGCUGGCGAGCUGAAGACGUUGAUUGCCCAUCACUGGAGCUUACCAAUGUCGGCCGGUGCCACUAUAAACUGGAUCAGAACCCCAUUUCAAGCCCAGAGAUUUCAUGACUUCUCAAGUUUAAGUUUUAGAUGCCGAAACACUUUUGGAUCAAUUCAGCCUUGCUGGUUGGCAACUGAUCAGGAUUCAUCCCUCUCCAAAGUCCGUGUGGCUGCAGACUACUCAGAUUCAGUGCCAGAUUCCAAGUACAUGAGAGAUCGAGGAUACCAUCCUCUUGAAGAAAUCAAAGAACGCCCAAAGAAAAAAGACAUUUCACUGACGGAUGUAGAAACAGCUAGAACAGUAGUAGAGGCAAAUAGCAAGGGAUUGCUCGUAUUUCCUGCCAGGGUGCAUAAUGAACCUCAUGGACAUGUUUCUUGGUCAGAGUUUCAGUAUGUUGUUGAUGACUAUGGAGACAUUUUCUUUCAAGUACCUGAUGAUGGGAACAUCUUGGAAGAUGAUGAUGCAAACAACCCUGUGACAGUUUUGAUCGGAACGGAUGGUGCCAUUAUCGGUGAAACUAGUGCGGUAACUAGUGAUUUCAGCGACCACGUGGUCGUUGAGGAUUCUAUGGACAUGCAUGAUAACGACAGCAAGGUUGACACAGAAAUAACGGAUAUUCUUAUAGAGUGGGGAAUGCCAGUGACGAUGCGUUCAAUACAUCCUAUAUAUUUUGCCAAGUGUUUGACAAAGGCUGUUCAUGAUAAUCAUGGGGAGAAGAUUGAUAAUCCAUCAAACGGUGUAUCUAUUGUAGGAUACCUGAGACCUGCUUUUAUAGAAGAAGAGUCUUAUUUGAGGAGUUUAUUUGGUGCUGAAUGCAGUGCCGAUGGUUAUUCAUCUAAUUGGAGAGAGGAAUACAACAGAGAACCCCAGCCAGCUUCUGGAACCAAUGGCCUAAUUGAUGGUGAUAAAUCGAGAUUGGACAUCAACAAUACGGAAAGUAGCAUUGAUUCAACCAUCUACAAGCUGGAAAUGAUGUCAAUUGAGCUGUUUUCCGUCUAUGGUAAGCAGUUUAUGAUUGAUCCACAAGACUUUCAAGAUGCAGAACCAGAUCUUCUUUCAAAUCAUGCUUCAGACAUUAUAAAACGCGUCAAAGAAAACAGUGAUCAGUGUACCAUGGCUCUAAGGUCCCUCUGUAGCCGGAAAAAAGGCCUUACAGUAGAGGAUGCAAGUUUGAUAGGUGUCGAUAGUCUUGGUAUCGACGUCAGAGCCUUUUCUGGCUUGGCAGCUCGGACAGUUCGAUUUUCAUUCAAUGCCCAGGCGUUAUCUGAACGUUCAGCCGAAAAGAAGAUCAAGCGAAUGCUUUUUCCGCGUUAUCGCAAGACUGUGAAAGCUUCCACUGAAGAUGAAUGUUAGCCAACUUAUUUAAUUUUAGCUUCGAACGCCUAACAGUAAACUGGUGAGGACAAAGGGUGUGCAGGGAACUCCACAGAAGAUGUGCACCCAGUCAGCUCCCAAUUCGUUUGGAGAAGCUAACACCCGUCGACAUGAAAUGACCUCAAGUGCUAGAGUGCUUGAUCGAGGUUUUGGCUUCGUCAGCUGUAGAAGGCCGACCACCCAUGGUUUCUGACAAAUAAGGUGGUGGCCAUGUAUAGAGGAGCAUCCUUGGACGGGAUGCGAGGUGAUUCGUUGUCAGUUAAAACUGCAGCUGAUCAGCCAUAUAGCCUAUAAGUUUCCCUCUAAACAAAAUAAGGUGCAGGAGACGCAGGAUGCAAAGUGACAGCUCUUUGGCCUGAAUAAACAACGUCUUAGUUUACUGCAAACAUGUAACUAAGUCGCUCUCAUUCGUUUCCUUUCCAUUCUGAAUAAAGUGCAAUUCUAUUUCUAUCUAUUGACAACAUGCCCCGCCGCGCUGUCGAAACCUCGAUGGUGUCGCGGCAAUAAAGUAUUAAUUUGCUGUUAAGUGUGAAAAGACAUCAGACAUGAAACAUGCUUAUCGUGCAGAGCGGGAUGUAACUGGG
RNAcentral lists this ribosomal RNA (2354 nucleotides) under Triticum aestivum (bread wheat). Its description in RNAcentral is "partial small subunit ribosomal RNA". Lineage: Eukaryota; Viridiplantae; Streptophyta; Magnoliopsida; Poales; Poaceae. The record is from RNAcentral.